UGGAAUUGGUGGGUUCUUGGUCUCACCGACUUCAAGAAUGAAGCCGUGGACCCUCGUGGUCAGCUUUCGGUCCAGUGACUCACUCACAGAAACUCCAAGACAGAUUAAACUAGCAAGAGUUGAAUAUCUGAAUUUCCAAAAUUAUGAGGCUACAAAAAGAAGCAUAGAUUAAAGUUAGGACCAAAUGCUGCUCAGAAAUUCUUUUAAUCUCAAAAGUAGUUGGCAAGUUUUCAGAGUUCAUUUUCAAGGCCUGGUGUAUGUGAAACAACUGAACAUUCAGAGCUAUUUCAUUUUCAAAGAUUCUCACAUCCAACAGAGAGAAGAAGGUCAUACGAAGACACGCAGAAUUUGGACUUAUGCGGUCACAAGUCAAGGAGUGCUUGGAGCUACCGGGAGAUGGAAGAGUCAAGGCAGGAUUUUCCCUGGAAGAUUUGGAAGGAACGUAUUUCUCCUGAAACCUUGAUUCUAGCCUUCACUAAUGACAGAGAAUAAAUUUCUGUUCUUUUAAGCCA
RNAcentral lists this long non-coding RNA (512 nucleotides) under Pan troglodytes (chimpanzee). Its description in RNAcentral is "lincRNA". Lineage: Eukaryota; Metazoa; Chordata; Mammalia; Primates; Hominidae. The record is from RNAcentral.